UACGGAGGGUGCAAGCGUUAUCCGGAUUCACUGGGUUUAAAGGGUGCGUAGGAGGGCAGGUAAGUCAGUGGUGAAAUCUCCAAGCUUAACUUGGAAACUGCCGUUGAUACUAUCUGUCUUGAAUACCGUGGAGGUGAGCGGAAUAUGUCAUGUAGCGGUGAAAUGCUUAGAUAUGACAUAGAACACCCAUUGCGAAGGCAGCUCGCUACACGAAUAUUGACUCUGAGGCACGAAAGCGUGGGGAUCAAACAGG
RNAcentral lists this ribosomal RNA (253 nucleotides) under uncultured bacterium. Its description in RNAcentral is "partial 16S ribosomal RNA". It matches the Rfam family "Bacterial small subunit ribosomal RNA", at positions 524 to 776 of the family's 1533-position model. The record is from RNAcentral.